ACUGAUUUAGCAUAUUUAAAUGUGUUGGGCUGUAAACCCAUUGAAAGUUUUAACUAAUCAGAA
RNAcentral lists this transfer RNA (63 nucleotides) under Eudiplozoon sp. DZ-2018. RNAcentral's name for it is "tRNA-Tyr". The record is from RNAcentral. Lineage: Eukaryota; Metazoa; Platyhelminthes; Monogenea; Mazocraeidea; Diplozoidae.